Long non-coding RNA from Xenia sp. Carnegie-2017, 685 nucleotides. RefSeq lists it as uncharacterized. NCBI's taxonomy places the organism in Eukaryota, Metazoa, Cnidaria, Anthozoa, Malacalcyonacea, Xeniidae. The record is from RefSeq and is a predicted model, not a curated record. The transcript has 2 exons.
GGUAUAAACUCAGUAUCGUAAACGAGAAAGACGUUGAGAGUCUACGGCAGAAAUUUUUUUCAUCGGUUUCAAGUCAUCCUCAAAACAAACAUCAAGAAGAAUGACGAAGCAAUUAUACCUAAGACCGAGAAAGUAUCCUCUAGUACAUCCGUAUGCAAUGUGCAUUUCAGCAUUGUUUCCACAUCUCACAUGUCAGACGGAAAUCACACCUUUACCUUAGUCAACUAUCGCGCGCCCAUUACAAUGGUUUUAUAUUACGCGUCGAGCUGCUUGAGCUAGCGUUGGGCUGGCAUCAUUUUAAGUAGUACAAACCACUAGCAGCAUUUUCGAAGAGCAGGAAUACGUAUUUGUGAAAGGACUGAUGAAGUAGAAAAGUUUAAACGUAAAAAAACGACGAGGUUCUCAUCUGAUAACGGGUCUUAACCAGCAUUUACGCAACCCUCAUGGGGCGUGGUGCUGAAAUAAUUCGUCGUUCUAAAUAAAAAUAAUCUAUGAAGACGUUAUGCCUUUUUUUCAGAGUACAGAAAUCUAGUCUCAUGAAGUAUUUGCGAUUUGUGAAUACUGCUGAAAACAACGCAAUGUUAAUAAUUAAUCAGUUCACGAUUUGUUUGUAAAAUAACUUCUCACUAACAUUGUUUGAUGAUGCUACAAACCAUAAUUUUAAUAGUUUGCAAUAUGACCACCA